Molecule: long non-coding RNA, 608 nt
Filed under: Struthio camelus australis
Lineage: Eukaryota; Metazoa; Chordata; Aves; Struthioniformes; Struthionidae
Description: lncRNA (ENSSCUG00000014003.1)
Source: RNAcentral
GCAGGACUGGAGGUUUGGCUCUUCAGUCUUGGAUCAGCCGCAGCUCUGCUGUGAUUUUACAUUGGGUUGUCCCUUCUGCUUUUUGAAGUAUCAGUCUUUCCUUUUCAUAAGAUUUCUUAAAUAUCUUUUCAGAAUUAGCUUUUUUCUGUCUAACUAUUUAAAAACAUCCACAACUUCAGAAUCAGCUUUUGUCAGGAGAGAGAGAGAAAAAAAAAAUUGCUAGGUUUGUUUUUUGCUGGCUCUCUUUGCUUGUCGAGAGAUCGAAACACUGCUUAAAUCUUUUCCAGCUGUCCAGCACGUAUGCAGCGUCUCAACCCCGGGGCUCUGAAGCGCUCCGUUCUCCCCCCCGGCGCUCCCCUGCCCUUUGCGCAAGGUGCCCGAGAGGUCUGGUUUUCUCUGUGCCUUCCUCGCAGAGCUUCUGUGCUGCUGCUUCCUCGCUGCUGGACUGUGCUGCACCAGAUCACACAGUAAUUGGACCCAUCUUAAAAACACACACACAAAAACAAACAGAAAACUCCAAACUGUUUUCACUUUUCACAGCGUGUAGAAAGAAAAUAGCGCAAAUACUCGCAAGGACCACACGGAUUUUAUACCCGUUUCUUUUAUGA